RNAcentral lists this ribosomal RNA (2905 nucleotides) under Escherichia coli. Its description in RNAcentral is "23S ribosomal RNA". It matches the Rfam family "Bacterial large subunit ribosomal RNA". Lineage: Bacteria; Pseudomonadati; Pseudomonadota; Gammaproteobacteria; Enterobacterales; Enterobacteriaceae. RNAcentral also lists the same sequence under 2 other names. The record is from RNAcentral.
GGUUAAGCGACUAAGCGUACACGGUGGAUGCCCUGGCAGUCAGAGGCGAUGAAGGACGUGCUAAUCUGCGAUAAGCGUCGGUAAGGUGAUAUGAACCGUUAUAACCGGCGAUUUCCGAAUGGGGAAACCCAGUGUGAUUCGUCACACUAUCAUUAACUGAAUCCAUAGGUUAAUGAGGCGAACCGGGGGAACUGAAACAUCUAAGUACCCCGAGGAAAAGAAAUCAACCGAGAUUCCCCCAGUAGCGGCGAGCGAACGGGGAGCAGCCCAGAGCCUGAAUCAGUGUGUGUGUUAGUGGAAGCGUCUGGAAAGGCGCGCGAUACAGGGUGACAGCCCCGUACACAAAAAUGCACAUACUGUGAGCUCGAUGAGUAGGGCGGGACACGUGGUAUCCUGUCUGAAUAUGGGGGGACCAUCCUCCAAGGCUAAAUACUCCUGACUGACCGAUAGUGAACCAGUACCGUGAGGGAAAGGCGAAAAGAACCCCGGCGAGGGGAGUGAAAAAGAACCUGAAACCGUGUACGUACAAGCAGUGGGAGCACAGAGCAAUCUGUGUGACUGCGUACCUUUUGUAUAAUGGGUCAGCGACUUAUAUUCUGUAGCAAGGUUAACCGAAUAGGGGAGCCGAAGGGAAACCGAGUCUUAACCGGGCGUUAAGUUGCAGGGUAUAGACCCGAAACCCGGUGAUCUAGCCAUGGGCAGGUUGAAGGUUGGGUAACACUAACUGGAGGACCGAACCGACUAAUGUUGAAAAAUUAGCGGAUGACUUGUGGCUGGGGGUGAAAGGCCAAUCAAACCGGGAGAUAGCUGGUUCUCCCCGAAAGCUAUUUAGGUAGCGCCUCGUGAAUUCAUCUCCGGGGGUAGAGCACUGUUUCGGCAAGGGGGUCAUCCCGACUUACCAACCCGAUGCAAACUGCGAAUACCGGAGAAUGUUAUCACGGGAGACACACGGCGGGUGCUAACGUCCGUCGUGAAGAGGGAAACAACCCAGACCGCCAGCUAAGGUCCCAAAGUCAUGGUUAAGUGGGAAACGAUGUGGGAAGGCCCAGACAGCCAGGAUGUUGGCUUAGAAGCAGCCAUCAUUUAAAGAAAGCGUAAUAGCUCACUGGUCGAGUCGGCCUGCGCGGAAGAUGUAACGGGGCUAAACCAUGCACCGAAGCUGCGGCAGCGACACUGUGUGUUGUUGGGUAGGGGAGCGUUCUGUAAGCCUGUGAAGGUGUGCUGUGAGGCAUGCUGGAGGUAUCAGAAGUGCGAAUGCUGACAUAAGUAACGAUAAAGCGGGUGAAAAGCCCGCUCGCCGGAAGACCAAGGGUUCCUGUCCAACGUUAAUCGGGGCAGGGUGAGUCGACCCCUAAGGCGAGGCCGAAAGGCGUAGUCGAUGGGAAACAGGUUAAUAUUCCUGUACUUGGUGUUACUGCGAAGGGGGGACGGAGAAGGCUAUGUUGGCCGGGCGACGGUUGUCCCGGUUUAAGCGUGUAGGCUGGUUUUCCAGGCAAAUCCGGAAAAUCAAGGCUGAGGCGUGAUGACGAGGCACUACGGUGCUGAAGCAACAAAUGCCCUGCUUCCAGGAAAAGCCUCUAAGCAUCAGGUAACAUCAAAUCGUACCCCAAACCGACACAGGUGGUCAGGUAGAGAAUACCAAGGCGCUUGAGAGAACUCGGGUGAAGGAACUAGGCAAAAUGGUGCCGUAACUUCGGGAGAAGGCACGCUGAUAUGUAGGUGAAGUCCCUCGCGGAUGGAGCUGAAAUCAGUCGAAGAUACCAGCUGGCUGCAACUGUUUAUUAAAAACACAGCACUGUGCAAACACGAAAGUGGACGUAUACGGUGUGACGCCUGCCCGGUGCCGGAAGGUUAAUUGAUGGGGUCAGCGCAAGCGAAGCUCUUGAUCGAAGCCCCGGUAAACGGCGGCCGUAACUAUAACGGUCCUAAGGUAGCGAAAUUCCUUGUCGGGUAAGUUCCGACCUGCACGAAUGGCGUAAUGAUGGCCAGGCUGUCUCCACCCGAGACUCAGUGAAAUUGAACUCGCUGUGAAGAUGCAGUGUACCCGCGGCAAGACGGAAAGACCCCGUGAACCUUUACUAUAGCUUGACACUGAACAUUGAGCCUUGAUGUGUAGGAUAGGUGGGAGGCUUUGAAGUGUGGACGCCAGUCUGCAUGGAGCCGACCUUGAAAUACCACCCUUUAAUGUUUGAUGUUCUAACGUGGACCCGUGAUCCGGGUUGCGGACAGUGUCUGGUGGGUAGUUUGACUGGGGCGGUCUCCUCCUAAAGAGUAACGGAGGAGCACGAAGGUUGGCUAAUCCUGGUCGGACAUCAGGAGGUUAGUGCAAUGGCAUAAGCCAGCUUGACUGCGAGCGUGACGGCGCGAGCAGGUGCGAAAGCAGGUCAUAGUGAUCCGGUGGUUCUGAAUGGAAGGGCCAUCGCUCAACGGAUAAAAGGUACUCCGGGGAUAACAGGCUGAUACCGCCCAAGAGUUCAUAUCGACGGCGGUGUUUGGCACCUCGAUGUCGGCUCAUCACAUCCUGGGGCUGAAGUAGGUCCCAAGGGUAUGGCUGUUCGCCAUUUAAAGUGGUACGCGAGCUGGGUUUAGAACGUCGUGAGACAGUUCGGUCCCUAUCUGCCGUGGGCGCUGGAGAACUGAGGGGGGCUGCUCCUAGUACGAGAGGACCGGAGUGGACGCAUCACUGGUGUUCGGGUUGUCAUGCCAAUGGCACUGCCCGGUAGCUAAAUGCGGAAGAGAUAAGUGCUGAAAGCAUCUAAGCACGAAACUUGCCCCGAGAUGAGUUCUCCCUGACCCUUUAAGGGUCCUGAAGGAACGUUGAAGACGACGACGUUGAUAGGCCGGGUGUGUAAGCGCAGCGAUGCGUUGAGCUAACCGGUACUAAUGAACCGUGAGGCUUAACCUU